This 447-nucleotide ribosomal RNA is filed under the name uncultured bacterium. Its description in RNAcentral is "bacterial SSU rRNA". It matches the Rfam family "Bacterial small subunit ribosomal RNA", at positions 355 to 825 of the family's 1533-position model. The record is from RNAcentral.
UCGGGAAUUUUGGGCAAUGGGCGAAAGCCUGACCCAGCAACGCCGCGUGAAGGAUGAAGUAUUUCGGUAUGUAAACUUCGUAAGAAUAGGAAGAAUAAAUGACGGUACUAUUUGUAAGGUCCGGCUAACUACGUGCCAGCAGCCGCGGUAAUACGUAGGGACCAAGCGUUGUUCGGAUUUACUGGGCGUAAAGGGCGCGUAGGCGGUGUGUCAAGUCAGUUGUGAAAUCUCCGAGCUUAACUCGGAACGGUCAACUGAUACUGUCACACUAGAGUACAGAAGGGGCAAUCGGAAUUCUUGGUGUAGCGGUGAAGUGCGUAGAUAUCAAGAGGAACACCUGAGGCGAAGGCGGGUUGCUGGGCUGAUACUGACGCUGAGGCGCGAAAGCUAGGGUAGCAAACGGGAUUAGAUACCCACGUAGUCCCUGAGCGGGCUGGCAAGGCGCAU